GCAGUGGUAGUCGAGUGGUAGAAUUCUCACCUUCAGUGGGGAAGACCUGGGUUUAAUUCCCAGUCAAUGUA
RNAcentral lists this transfer RNA (71 nucleotides) under Loxodonta africana (African savanna elephant). It matches the Rfam family "tRNA". Rfam says of the family: Transfer RNA (tRNA) molecules are approximately 80 nucleotides in length. Their secondary structure includes four short double-helical elements and three loops (D, anti-codon, and T loops). Further hydrogen bonds mediate the characteristic L-shaped molecular structure. tRNAs have two regions of fundamental functional importance: the anti-codon, which is responsible for specific mRNA codon recognition, and the 3' end, to which the tRNAs corresponding amino acid is attached (by aminoacyl-tRNA synthetases). tRNAs cope with the degeneracy of the genetic code in two manners: having more than one tRNA (with a specific anti-codon) for a particular amino acid; and 'wobble' base-pairing, i.e. permitting non-standard base-pairing at the 3rd anti-codon position. Lineage: Eukaryota; Metazoa; Chordata; Mammalia; Proboscidea; Elephantidae. The record is from Rfam by way of RNAcentral.